CCAGACUCCUACGGGAGGCAGCAGUGGGGAAUAUUGCACAAUGGGGGAAACCCUGAUGCAGCAACGCCGCGUGAGUGAAGAAGUAUUUCGGUAUGUAAAGCUCUACCAGCAGGGAAGAAGAAAGACGGUACCUGACUAAGAAGCCCCGGCUAACUACGUGCCAGCAGCCGCGGUAAUACGUAGGGGGCAAGCGUUAUCCGGAAUCACUGGGUGUAAAGGGAGCGUAGACGGCUGUGCAAGCCUGAAGUGAAAGGCGGGGGCCCAACCCCCGGACUGCUUUGGGAACUGUACGGCUGGAGUGCAGGAGAGGUAAGUGGAAUUCCUAGUGUAGCGGUGAAAUGCGUAGAUAUUAGGAGGAACACCAGUGGCGAAGGCGGCUUACUGGGCUGUAACUGACGUUGAGGCUCGAAAGCGUGGGGAGCAAACAGGAUUAGAUACCCUUGUA
Molecule: ribosomal RNA, 445 nt
Filed under: uncultured bacterium
Lineage: Bacteria
Description: bacterial SSU rRNA
Rfam family: Bacterial small subunit ribosomal RNA
Source: RNAcentral